RNAcentral lists this small RNA (93 nucleotides) under Pedobacter psychrophilus. RNAcentral's name for it is "Pedobacter sp. CCM 8644 Flavo-1 RNA". It matches the Rfam family "Flavo-1 RNA". The record is from Rfam by way of RNAcentral. Lineage: Bacteria; Pseudomonadati; Bacteroidota; Sphingobacteriia; Sphingobacteriales; Sphingobacteriaceae.
GCUUAGGCGUUAACGAUAGGAACGGCAUCCUUUUUUUGUUCUAAUCUUUUUUGCAGGUUACAAAAAAAGAUAUAGUGAAUAGCGUGUAUAAAC